GUUUGUUCACUCACUUUCUGUGAAAAGAGUUUUGAAAUGUAUUCUGAAUAGACAGCAUUUUCUUUGUGUAGUUGGUAAAUAACGGAGAGCAAAGUUAGUCAGCAAGUUACAUAGUUUCUGCAUUCUGAUUCUUUGGAGCCCUUUUGUAUCGAGCCUGGGCAGGAUGUUUUUAACAGAAUGUGACCUCACAAGCAUGCUAGAGAAAAGAAUCUUGGAUUGGACUGUGUGGCGAAAUCAAAAAAGAAAUAGCAUAAGAGAAAUUGAGGGUAAUUCCACAUAUCCAGGAAAAGACUGCUCGGUGCACAUCUGUAGAGAAUCACCAGGGAAAGGUGACUCAGCUUGUUGCUGUUUUGGACUUGUGAUUUAAUCAGUCUGAAUUUAUCUCUGCUGAUCUUCAAUCUUAGAUAAUUGCCUGGAAACAUUAAGGAGAAGAGACCAUGGUCAAACAGCUAGUAAGUGACAGAGGUAUUCCUUAUUCCAAGGCAACCUUCAAUCCAAGACACCACAGUGCUU
RNAcentral lists this long non-coding RNA (513 nucleotides) under Phascolarctos cinereus (koala). Its description in RNAcentral is "lncRNA (ENSPCIG00000031164.1)". Lineage: Eukaryota; Metazoa; Chordata; Mammalia; Diprotodontia; Phascolarctidae. The record is from RNAcentral.